This 119-nucleotide ribosomal RNA is filed under the name Sinocyclocheilus rhinocerous. The record is from RNAcentral. Lineage: Eukaryota; Metazoa; Chordata; Actinopteri; Cypriniformes; Cyprinidae.
GCCAGCAACCAUUAUCACCCUGCAGCCCAAGACUGGUUGCCCACUGAAGCUAAGCAGGGUUGAGCCAGGUCAGUACCUGGAUGGGAGACCUCCUGGGAAAAAGUAGGUUGCAGCUGGAA